Long non-coding RNA from Parus major (Great Tit), 1333 nucleotides. RefSeq lists it as uncharacterized. NCBI's taxonomy places the organism in Eukaryota, Metazoa, Chordata, Aves, Passeriformes, Paridae. The transcript has 2 exons. The record is from RefSeq and is a predicted model, not a curated record.
UUUCUGCAGCACGACUGCAGGGCUGCAAUGGUUGAACUGGAACUACAAUGUCCCUGUCACAUGCCCAGGGCUCGGCCCCUGUGAUGACUUAGGAUCCUGCAGGCCUUGGGGGAAAGGCUAUCAGCCCUUUUCUUUCUCUUUCUUAGAUCCGGUCACUUGAUGGGGAAAUGGCUUCUUCUCGGCCUUAUGAAAUAGAGGGUUGUUUUGCAACCACAAACCCACAAGUUUGCUGGCUCAACAGAAAGAAAUAGGAGAAGGAACAGCAAACCUGGAGGUUUGGGUGCACCCCACAGGAUUGGUCCCACUCCUCAUCCAUCCACAUCCCCCAGUCCCACACUGCAGCAGCCAAAGGUCCUUACUCCAGACAGCUGCUCCCUUCCACCCCAUACCUGGAGCCAGGUGCACCUCAACUGCAUCUUCUCUGGGUGAUGUAGCUCCCUUUGGCAAUAAUGAGGGGCAAAUGAAACCGGGCAAGUGCACGUGGGAGAAGGGAACAAAUGGAUUCUGGCACUGGGGCUGUGUGGGACCUGGGGUAGCUUGUCCAGGGUCCUUCUCUGAAGGUGGCAGUGUUUGUAGCUCCCUGCCCUCCCGUGAGCUGCAGGCAGCACAUCCUGUCCCCUCUGUGUCUGCAACCUCUGCCACAACUGGGCCCUGCAGGAAAAACGGGGAAGGCUCAGGGCUGGGUAGGGGUGGGGGUUGUAUGGGUGUAAAUCAGGGGAAAAAGGCAAAGCUGGACUUCUUCCAGACCCUUUUCUACCCUUUUCUUUCUUCACCCUUCUAACCUUUAUGGUCUCCCUUGGAUAUUCCAUGGGCAAGAAGUUUUGGCAGCAGGGUGCCCUAAGGCCUUUUCCUGUUCUGGGCACCUCCUCUGGCCCUCUCUCCUGUCUAACCUCCCCCAGCCUCAGCUGAUUUUAGCACUGAUGCCUUAGUAUUUUAGCUUUUAUAUUUUUCAUAUAUUUGUAAGCCUACACUUGUUUAGUGUGUAACCCUAAACUCCAUAUAGAUUGCUAGCUACUGCUUUCCUAUUUUAGUCAGAUAAAACAAUUCCUCUCCAGGCCUGGGAAUCAAGGACACCUCACUAUCUCAGACCCCAAGAAAUGUGAACAAAAGUGAAUUGUUGUGGAGGGGGGGGUGGUGGUACAAGUUUGGGGUUAAUUACUUCAUUAGCUGAAGCUGUAAUUGGAAGAUUAACCCCCAAUAUGCAAAUGGACCAAACUUAUAAAAGUUACAAAAGUCUGAAAACCCAUGAAAGUCCAUUUUGGGUGUAGCUCCUGGGGCACUGAGCCUGAAAUGUACCUGAAGGUCCUUCAAUAAAUAGAACUGUUUAUUAUUC